This 277-nucleotide ribosomal RNA is filed under the name uncultured bacterium. RNAcentral describes it as "partial 16S ribosomal RNA". It matches the Rfam family "Bacterial small subunit ribosomal RNA", at positions 335 to 630 of the family's 1533-position model. The record is from RNAcentral.
UACCUACGGGACGCAGCAGUGGGGAAUAUUGCACAAUGGGGGAAACCCUGAUGCAGCGACGCCGCGUGAAGGAAGAAGUAUUUCGGUAUGUAAACUUCUAUCAGCAGGGAAGAAAAUGACGGUACCUGACUAAGAAGCCCCGGCUAACUACGUGCCAGCAGCCGCGGUAAUACGUAGGGGGCAAGCGUUAUCCGGAUUUACUGGGUGUAAAGGGAGCGUAGGCGGUGAUGCAAGUCAGAUGUGGAAGCCCGCAGCUCAACUGAGGGACUGCUUUUGA